CGCGCGAGUCAGAGGGCUCGGCACGAAACCCCACGGCGCAAUGAANGUGGAGCCGCGCNCCGCCUAGGUGGGAUCUCGCCCCGGCGCANNNNCGCACCACAGCCCGCUCUGCGCGACGCCGGCGAGUGGAGCAGAGCGCGCGCGAUGCACCCGAAAGAUGUGAACUAUGCCGGGCAGGCGAAGCCAGAGGAAACUCUGGUGGAGGCCCGCAGCGGUCCUGACGUGCAAACUUGUCCACCUGGUAUAGGGCGAAAGACUAAUCGAACCAUCUAGUAGCUGGUU
Molecule: ribosomal RNA, 282 nt
Filed under: Chaca sp.
Lineage: Eukaryota; Metazoa; Chordata; Actinopteri; Siluriformes; Chacidae
Description: partial 28S ribosomal RNA
Rfam family: Eukaryotic large subunit ribosomal RNA
Source: RNAcentral